RNAcentral lists this ribosomal RNA (497 nucleotides) under uncultured bacterium. RNAcentral's name for it is "partial 16S ribosomal RNA". It matches the Rfam family "Bacterial small subunit ribosomal RNA", at positions 28 to 507 of the family's 1533-position model. The record is from RNAcentral.
GAUGAACGCUGGCGGCGUGCCUAAUACAUGCAAGUAGAACGCUGAAGGAAGGAGCUUGCUCUUUCCGGAUGAGUUGCGAACGGGUGAGUAACGCGUAGGUAACCUGCCUGGUAGCGGGGGAUAACUAUUGGAAACGAUAGCUAAUACCGCAUAACAGUAGAUGUUGCAUGACAACUAUUUGAAAGGGGCAAUUGCUCCACUACCAGAUGGACCUGCGUUGUAUUAGCUAGUUGGUGAGGUAACGGCUCACCAAGGCGACGAUACAUAGCCGACCUGAGAGGGUGAUCGGCCACACUGGGACUGAGACACGGCCCAGACUCCUACGGGAGGCAGCAGUAGGGAAUCUUCGGCAAUAGACGGAAGUCUGACCGAGCAACGCCGCGGGAGUGAAGAAGGUUUUCGGAUCGUAAAGCUCUGUUGUAAGAGAAGAACGAGUGUGAGAGUGGAAAGUUCACACUGUGACGGUAGCUUACCAGAAAGGGACGGCUAACUACGUG